UUCCCUACACCAACUCUUUUAAAGAUUUGAAAUUCAAGUGUCCAAACCUUGCAUGCCAAAGCCAAGAAGUAUCUUAGCAAUUCACCAAGUAACAAACAGGUUUGUCUUCUGACAUGAGCCAACAACCUUUGUUGUCGAUUAUCUAUCUUCAUGAUCCCAUCCUCGCUUGGAAAUUUGAAGCCAUUUUCAUCCAACUGCCCCAUGCUUAUUGUAUUGUUCUUCAAUUUUUGAAUAUAAUAAACUCCAGUCAAGAGUCGAUGCUCACCGUUUUGACAUGAGAGUAAUACCGAUCCCCUGCCUUGUAUCUCUAUCGACGUUGUGCAAGUCGGCGCUCAUCUUCACGAUCAUCGGGAACAUCGCGAACCUUCGCUCCCUCUCUCUCGACAAGUUAGAUGUGGCCCGCGGCUUCUAAUCCAAGGAGAAUAGGGCCACUACUUGUUCCGGAGCCUGAUUACUUUGGCCUCCAUCGACUCGGCUCCACAAUCCUUACUCUAGCUUUUGAGGAGCAACAUCCACUUUACUGCCGCUAAGUUCUCUUAACCCUUAUGUUCUUUCCGUUACUUGAUAGGAUUUGUAGUUUUUAACAAGUGUUUUUCGUUUGGUGUGAAGACGUGACCAAGGCCGCCGAGUAUCGGCAAAAUCUCCACCACUGCCACAACUAUAUGAUGGCCGAUACCAUCACGGGUCGGGUGGAGAGCACCGACGUUGUCACUCUCUGUGAGCUGGCCUGUUGUACGCCUGCGUAGCAAGGGAGCCAAUCCACCUCGAGAACAUCUUGGCCCUCACCCUCAGAACCUUCGGCAUCAACCCUUCUUUGAAGGUCCUUCCCUGUGGUGCCUAUAUCAUUAGGUUUGCGUGCCAUGUCAACCUCCUCCACCACUUCUCCCAGGUCUGCAACCACCCUUUGUCCCGCAUCGGCAAGAUUACUUUGUUGAACAUGCGGAUGCUACAGAGGAUCCACCACAGUGUCCAGAUGCUCCUGGUAGAGGCAGUUAUUGUUGGGGAAGCCCAACCUAAGAAGGGGGGAUUCUCCGGUGGCACCACCAACUCCUUGCCAGUGAAGGGGUACAAACUCGAGGGUGCCAACGGUGAUCAAUCAACAGUAGACGCAGCUGAACUAGCACCUCAAUUUAUUGGACUCCAGGCUAUAAUGGAUCCAGGCUAGUCUAACUCUCCAUUACCCGGAUUGGCCUGCUUCUCCCGUUUUCACUUCGCUCAACCCAAAUGUUGUUGACCAGGAGGAGGAGGAUUACUGAGUUUAGGUCCUCGGCGGUGUUGUUAUUUUCCUUUCUUUUCCCCUUUCCUCUUUUCUGACCGAAACAUGUAUGGACAACGAUUCGACUCGUUAUUUCUACAUUCUAAUUCAAACUUUCUCUAUGUUUUCCCAAUGUAUCGUAUGCGUUCCUAGAGCUGCUACUGUCUUCAACACCAACAUGUAGGGUCCUUAACGGGCUUGACUGUUGUUCUUCAAAAAUUCCAUGAGCUCCUCCUACUGUCUUCAACACCAACGUGUCUUAGUGUCGUCUGCGACACACAAGGACCUAUCUAGCUUGGUUCUUGAUUAAACACCAGUGUCUCCCUAGAUGAGUGCAUUUUAGUCAAUUUAGUUAGUUUAAUGUUGUUCAGAAAACAUAACACCCUCGCUAAGCUUUUAAGUUUCUCGCUGCAUGAAAGGGUAAUUUAGUAAUUUACCUUGUUUCAGACGUGAUGAUGUAACACGGACCAACUGGAAAUGGAGAUUUCUUGGAUGAGCUUGAGUCAAGGGUCGGAGAUAGACCACGAUCGCCAUGUUUGAAUUCCUUCAUAGUUUGGACGUGCGUAUCUUGGGUUGCCUUCAUCUUCUCCGUGUAAAAUGUCGAACCGUCAUCCAUGUGGAGGUGUGGCUCCUCGAUGUUGUGCAAUUUUGAUGUCCCAUCCUUGACCUUAUAGAAAAUUUUCGAGUGAGAAGGAUGGUCUUUGAGCUCGAGUUCUGGUGGUUCUUCAUGCAUAUUCUUAGCCUUAGAAUCACUAGAUGGGACUAGAUUGAUAACAUGCACUCCCUUGAUCGAAAGAGCUUCAGUUUUUCACUAUCAUGUUUCAUAAAAUCGCUGAAGGAUAAAUCCAAUGCAUCUUGACGAAGUAAAUCAAUGAUAAAAAAUGCAGGAUCCAUGUUGUUAGAACCAUCACUUCAUCAUCAAGUUGGGCGACCUAUUGUUUCAUGCCACGAGUCAAGUCAAAAGUACCUUAUCUUGAUCUACUCAUAACGUAAGUUUACCCUCGAACACGUCUACAAUCUCCUUAGACGUGUCGAGGAAUGGCCGCCCCAAGAUAAAAGAUACACUUGUGUCUCUGGUGUCAAACCAUAAUAAAAUCAUCUGGAAAAUCAAACUUGCCAACACGCACAUUAACAUAUUUUUCUUGAGGAACUUGGAUAAUUGAGACAUCUUUUCUAUCGCCUCGGUGAAAAGAAUGGUGAAGUUCAUACUUUGAAGACGAUGAAAAAAUUGCUUAAUGCUCUUCUCAACUAGGUCAUUGUCGAACCGGUUGGGAUAAGACAUCUUCGUCUUUACAAGCUAAAGCGGGCUUUGAGGUAGGAUGAGUCGCAGUUGAGCUCGUCGUAACCUUAUUGGAGUAUACUUCAGUGGAAUCUUGGACUUCCCCAUGUCCUUGGGAGCCUUAAUCGUGGUUAUACAGUGUGUAUGGGUGAUCUAGUACAAGCAAUGAGAAGUAUUUUAACAUUUCAGGACAACUCAAGAAGCGUAGGCAAGGAUUUUGACUUGGUCGGAAAACGUCACAAUUUUGUAUUUUAGACAUAUCUCCUAGCUCAGAAGUCUGAUUGAUGCAAGGCUAGUGCGAUUGGAAAGGUAGUGCAAUAUUCUACGACUUCUAUGAAAUAAGUUCUGCCCCCGAAAGUGUUAAUGUGCGAUAUAAAAUGUGCAAAUGUGCGGCGCCCAUAUUUCAACAUCCUUCAGCAAUAAGGAUUUCGUCUACUAUUUAAAGACCAACACCCCUUGAUUCUAAAAGGGAGCCUUUUGGAUAAAAAUUGGGGAGAAUGUUGGAAAUAUUGUGUGGAUGGAAUUGCGUCUUUACGAUUUCCAACGUACCUAAUAAAAUUGGGAUUAAAGUUCACGUGGUGCGAGAUUGUGUACAUUGUCGAAUUUGUCACGUAAGUAGUCUUAACGAUCUGAUUGUCUUCGAUUGAAUGAUGUUUGAUAGAGUCGUCAGCGAACUCACUCUUCAUAAUGCGAAUUUCUACCCUUUUCGAAACCCCGGGUUACAAGAAAUCACUUAUAAGAUAAAACUGUCGACCUUCAUAAUCUAACUUAUCGAAAAAUGAAGCCACUUUUGAGACGAUUUGAGAGGAUGAAGAUUUACGGGUCGUUUGAAUUUCAGAUUUCAAAUGAAGAAAUUUGAAAUACCUAGUGAUUUGAAAUCACUAAUGAUUUCAAAUAGCUAGUAAUUUCGUAAAUAACUUAGGGGUCGUUUGGUAUGCGAUAUCUCGAACAUCGUGACAUUGGACGAUAUUGAUAUUGAGGGGAGUAAAUGAAGAAAUUGUUGUUUCGUAUGGCUUUGUGUCAGAUUACUAAUUUACCCUCAACUUUUUUAAAGUUUGACCUAUGGGUUUGAUCAACUCCCCUUCUUAUUCGGAACAAGUCGUGGUUUCACAAAACGUCACUCUCCUGAAAAUUCUCUGAUUUCAUAACUCCACUCUCUCUCGAUUAUGCCGCCUUGUCGAUCGUCUUCACAAUCUUGCCGUUGCCAGAGUAUCCUCUCAUAAUCUAUCAUCACGGUUCAUCAGCAAAAAACCCAGGUAAAGUUCUUUGAUUUUCUUUUAUGUGUCCUUUAUAUAAUCAGUCGAUUCGGGCCUCGAAAUUAGGGUUCAUCCAGAUCUGUAUUUGGUGCGGUUGGUAAUUACGGUUUAGCUUUAGGGUUUCGAAUUGGAUUUUUUUGUUACAGACAUGUAUCUAUUGUCCUAGUUUGUUCUUCAAACCUAGAUCCUCGAUUGUAGUUUCAAAUUUUUUUGUUACCAGAGAUGUAUCCACCAUCGCUUAUUGUUUGUCUCUUCCACAUGAUUAAUUAUUUAGGUUGCUUGUUGAUUUCCUAAAUGUUGUGUUCUGAGUUGCCUGCAAUUGUUAUGAGCGUUUUGUGUUUGGAGAGUUUUAUAGUUCCUCAGCUUUAGGGAUGACUGGAUUGAGUGUCAUUCCUAUGUGUGGGUGUAUUCACUAGAGCUUUCGCACAAUGUGUAUUCACUAUAGCAUCCACCCGGUGAAACUCUGGUUCCUUCCGCAGCUACUUCGGUUUUCGAAAGAGUAAUGGUGGUUGUGGCACUUUCAUCUGGUGCAAGGUAAAGGAUAACAAUGAUCCAAACGAAGAAGAUGGAGUUCACGUCUACGACGAGCUGGUUUUAACUAACAAAGAAUUGGACUUGAGGAAGCAUAAGUUGAGGGUGAAGAACACGAACCACAAGGACCAUACCCAGUAAUUGGAGGAUAGGAUUUACUGCCUGUAACUAGAUGAGAACGAUCUCUUCCUUGACGAUGGUGAUUGGUGAGAGGUAUUUGCUGGGUGUCAUAAUGGUGAUUUACAUUUACCAUCUUCUAGUAUAAUGAUGAUGGUUGGAAGCUUAUUUUCUAUUGAAGUACUUGUUCGGUACUAGCGUAUUGGUUUAUCAUGCAUUAUUGACUACCAGACUAGUUAAUUAGGUACUUGAUGUAAUAUUUAGGAUUGUUGUAUUCCCUAGCCACUCGUGAUUAUAAGAACCUGAGACUUGUUCAUUAGGGUAUUGAGUAUUGUGAUGAAUGGUCUAGUUGAUUAAGUAUUUCUUGUUAAAUAUGUUUUUGUGUGAAUUUUUAUCACCGUCUUGUUCAACCGGUUUUUGCUGGUUGAACGAUUUCUUCUGCGAGUAAUAACUUAUGCUAUUCAGGUGUAGCCAAGUCAUUUGUUUUUUCUUCUUCUUUGUAAUUGAUGUUAGACCUUGUUUGUGUUACGGACCUUUGCUAUGAAAACAUAGACUUAUGAAUCAUGUCGGCAUGUUAGAAUUGCUCCAGGUACUUAGCAAACGGCAAUCAACAAUGUUGCCUCAAAUACUGACCCUAACCUCAAAACACUACAUUAAAAAACCUGAUACCAGAAUAUGCAGUUGGACAUGUUGUUCCCUGCCAAAAUAACAAAACAUCCUACAAUUAGCUAGUAUAACUUCAAAUUCAGUUAAGGGUCUUACGAUUAAGUGGUACACACCACUAUCUAUGAUAAGUUUAUUCGUCAUACACUUAAGUGGUACACUCCGCUAUCUACAAUAAGUAGUCAGGUUGAUUGGACGGUACUUAAUACUUUGUUCCUACGUACAUGGAGCAGAGCUUUACUCCCAAAACCCUACUAGCCAAUAGUAGACCCCCUAACCGACAAACUAGUCGACAACGGUAGAGAUGAAUUAUGCUUUCAUCUCAUCAAUCCGCAUAGCGAAGAAGGUCUCCAAAUCAGGUAGCUUGUUAAAAAGCAACCUGCAAGCCUUGAUACUCAUCAAUCUCGUCACACCUGGCACACGUGCCAGCACGUCCAUCAUAAAUUGGCGUUUCUCUGCUAUGUCAUCCUGAAGGCACAAGCUAUUACUCAAGG
RNAcentral lists this long non-coding RNA (5595 nucleotides) under Linum usitatissimum (flax). Its description in RNAcentral is "long non-coding RNA (LUSI_LNC006449)". Lineage: Eukaryota; Viridiplantae; Streptophyta; Magnoliopsida; Malpighiales; Linaceae. The record is from RNAcentral.